Molecule: ribosomal RNA, 588 nt
Filed under: uncultured bacterium
Lineage: Bacteria
Description: bacterial SSU rRNA
Rfam family: Bacterial small subunit ribosomal RNA (bases 1-521)
Source: RNAcentral
CCUACGGGAGGCAGCAGUGGGGAAUCUUGCGCAAUGGGCGAAAGCCUGACGCAGCAACGCCGCGUGGGGGAUGAAGGCUCUCGGGUUGUAAACCCCUUUCAGCAGGGACGAAUCAAGACGGUACCUGCAGAAGAAGCCCCGGCUAACUACGUGCCAGCAGCCGCGGUAACACGUAGGGGGCAAGCGUUGUCCGGAUUUAUUGGGCGUAAAGAGCUCGUAGGUGGCUGAGUAAGUCGGAUGUUAAAUCCCCAGGCUCAACCUGGGACACCACCCGAUACUGCUCUGGCUAGAGUCCGGUAGGGGAGCGUGGAAUUCCUGGUGUAGCGGUGAAAUGCGCAGAUAUCAGGAGGAACACCAGCGGCGAAGGCGGCGCUCUGGGCCGGUACUGACACUGAGGAGCGAAGGCGUGGGUAGCAAACAGGAUUAGAUACCCUGGUAGUCCACGCCGUAAACGUUGGGCACUAGGUGUGGGGUCUAUUCAACGGACUCCGUGCCGUAGCUAACGCAUUAAGUGCCCCGCCUGGGGAGUACGCGCAGCAACACAAGAAGUAGACGCGNGAGAGNGCGACGACGACGACGAGGGAGAGG